This 468-nucleotide ribosomal RNA is filed under the name uncultured bacterium. RNAcentral's name for it is "partial 16S ribosomal RNA". It matches the Rfam family "Bacterial small subunit ribosomal RNA", at positions 28 to 507 of the family's 1533-position model. The record is from RNAcentral.
GACGAACGCUGGCGGCGUGCUUAACACAUGCAAGUCGAACGGAAAGGCCCUGCUUUUGUGGGGUGCUCGAGUGGCGAACGGGUGAGUAACACGUGAGUAACCUGCCCUUGACUUUGGGAUAACUUCAGGAAACUGGGGCUAAUACCGGAUAGGAGCUCCUGCGGCAUGGUGGGGGUUGGAAAGUUUCGGCGGUUGGGGAUGGACUCGCGGCUUAUCAGCUUGUUGGUGGGGUAGUGGCUUACCAAGGCUUUGACGGGUAGCCGGCCUGAGCGGGUGACCGGCCAGAUUGGGACUGAGAUACGGCCCAGACUCCUACGGGAGGCAGCAGUGGGGAAUAUUGCACAAUGGGCGGAAGCAUGAUGCAGCAACGCCGCGUGCGGGAUGACGGCCUUCGGGUUGUAAACCGAUUUCGCCUGUGACGAAGCGUGAGUGACGGUAAUGGGUAAAGAAGCACCGGCUAACUACGUG